RNAcentral lists this ribosomal RNA (197 nucleotides) under uncultured bacterium. Its description in RNAcentral is "partial 16S ribosomal RNA". It matches the Rfam family "Bacterial small subunit ribosomal RNA", at positions 328 to 539 of the family's 1533-position model. The record is from RNAcentral.
ACGCUCGACACCUACGGGGGCAGCAGUGGGGAAUAUUGCACAAUGGGGGAAACCCUGAUGCAGCGACGCCGCGUGAGCGAAGAAGUAUUUCGGUAUGUAAAGCUCUAUCAGCAGGGAAGAAACUGACGGUACCUGACUAAGAAGCACCGGCUAAAUACGUACCAGCAGCCGCGGUAAUCUGAGCGGGCUGGCAAGGC